UACGUAGGGUGCAAGCGUUGUCCGGAAUUAUUGGGCGUAAAGAGCUCGUAGGCGGUCUGUCGCGUGUGAAAGCCCCCGGCUCAACUGGGGAGGGUCACGCGAUACUGAUCGACUCGAAGGCAGGAGAGGGUAGUGGAAUUCCCGGUGUAGUGGUGAAAUGCGUAGAUAUCGGGAGGAACACCAGUGGCGAAGGCGACUACCUGGCCUGUUCUUGACGCUGAGGCGCGAAAGCUAGGGGAGGCAAACGGG
RNAcentral lists this ribosomal RNA (249 nucleotides) under uncultured bacterium. RNAcentral describes it as "partial 16S ribosomal RNA". It matches the Rfam family "Bacterial small subunit ribosomal RNA", at positions 524 to 776 of the family's 1533-position model. The record is from RNAcentral.